AUUGAACGCUGGCGGCAGGCCUAACACAUGCAAGUCGAACGGUAGCACAGAGAGCUUGCUCUCAGGUGACGAGUGGCGGACGGGUGAGUAAUGUCUGGGAAACUGCCCGAUGGAGGGGGAUAACUACUGGAAACGGUAGCUAAUACCGCAUAACGUCGCAAGACCAAAGUGGGGGACCUUCGGGCCUCACACCAUCGGAUGUGCCCAGAUGGGAUUAGCUAGUAGGUGGGAUAAUGGCUCACCUAGGCGACGAUCCCUAGCUGGUCUGAGAGGAUGACCAGCCACACUGGAACUGAGACACGGUCCAGACUCCUACGGGAGGCAGCAGUGGGGAAUAUUGCGCAAUGGGCGCAAGCCUGAUGCAGCCAUGCCGCGUGUAUGAAGAAGGCCUUCGGGUUGUAAAGUACUUUCAGCGGGGAGGAAGGCGGUGAAGUUAAUAGCUUCACCGAUUGACGUUACCCGCAGAGGAAGCACCGGCUAACUCCGUGCCAGCAGCCGCAGUAA
Molecule: ribosomal RNA, 504 nt
Filed under: uncultured bacterium
Lineage: Bacteria
Description: partial 16S ribosomal RNA
Rfam family: Bacterial small subunit ribosomal RNA
Source: RNAcentral